This 39-nucleotide ribosomal RNA is filed under the name Acaena multifida. Its description in RNAcentral is "partial 26S ribosomal RNA". Lineage: Eukaryota; Viridiplantae; Streptophyta; Magnoliopsida; Rosales; Rosaceae. The record is from RNAcentral.
CACGACCCCUGGUCAGGUGGGGUUACCCAUUGAAUUUAA